GUGGGGAAUAUUGCACAAUGGAGGAAACUCUGAUGCAGCAACGCCGCGUGAGUGAUGAAGGUCUUCGGAUUGUAAAGCUCUGUCUUCUGGGACGAUAAUGACGGUACCAGAGGAGGAAGCCACGGCUAACUACGUGCCAGCAGCCGCGGUAAUACGUAGGUGGCAAGCGUUGUCCGGAUUUACUGGGCGUAAAGGAUGUGUAGGCGGAUAUUUAAGUGAGAUGUGAAAUCCCCGGGCUUAACUUGGGGGCUGCAUUUCAAACUGGAUAUCUAGAGUGCAGGAGAGGAAAGCAGAAUUCCUAGUGUAGCGGUGAAAUGCGUAGAGAUUAGGAAGAAUACCAGUGGCGAAGGCGGCUUUCUGGACUGUAACUGACGCUGAGGCAUGAAAGCGUGGGGAGCAAACAGGAUUAGAUACCCCAGUAGUCC
This 425-nucleotide ribosomal RNA is filed under the name uncultured bacterium. RNAcentral's name for it is "bacterial SSU rRNA". It matches the Rfam family "Bacterial small subunit ribosomal RNA", at positions 354 to 796 of the family's 1533-position model. The record is from RNAcentral.